UGGGGGAAUAUUGCACAAUGGAGGAAACUCUGAUGCAGCGACGCCGCGUGAGCGAAGAAGUAUUUCGGUAUGUAAAGCUCUGUCAGCAGGGAAGAUAAUGACGGUACCUGACCAAGAAGCCCCGGCUAACUACGUGCCAGCAGCCGCGGUAAUACGUAGGGGGGCAAGCGUUAUCCGGAUUUACUGGGUGUAAAGGGAGUGUAGGUGGCUGCACAAGUCAGGAGUGAAAGCCCGGGGCUCAACCCCGGUACUGCAUUGGAAACUGUCGUACUAGAGUGUCGGAGGGGUAAGUGGAAUUCCUAGUGUAGCGGUGAAAUGCGUAGAUAUUAGGAGGAACACCAGUGGCGAAGGCGGCUUACUGGACGAUAACUGACGCUGAGGCUCGAAAGCGUGGGGAGCAAACAGGAUUAGAUACCCUGGUAGU
RNAcentral lists this ribosomal RNA (424 nucleotides) under uncultured Lachnospiraceae bacterium. RNAcentral's name for it is "bacterial SSU rRNA". It matches the Rfam family "Bacterial small subunit ribosomal RNA", at positions 354 to 794 of the family's 1533-position model. The record is from RNAcentral. Lineage: Bacteria; Bacillati; Bacillota; Clostridia; Lachnospirales; Lachnospiraceae.